GUUUUAACAUGCGUUUUCUUAGUAGAGAGGACCUCCAAGAUGGUGGAACUGCAUUUGUGGAAUCAUCCUAAUGAUUAGUGCUAAUUAGACUUGUGAUUUCACCAUGAUAUCAGAGACCUAGAUGCCCCCGCAGAGUAAAGAAAAUUCUCUUCCACCACUGCACAUUCAUGAAAAUCAUGUCCUAUGAGAGUCAACUAAAGAAGUUACAAAGAAA
RNAcentral lists this long non-coding RNA (214 nucleotides) under Homo sapiens (human). Its description in RNAcentral is "HSALNT0084206". The record is from RNAcentral. Lineage: Eukaryota; Metazoa; Chordata; Mammalia; Primates; Hominidae.